GCUCCUGUGGUGUAGUCCGGCCAAUCAUCUCGGCCUUUCGAGCCGAUCACGGGGGUUCGAAUCCCCCCGGGAGCA
This 75-nucleotide transfer RNA is filed under the name Thermoplasmata archaeon. RNAcentral's name for it is "tRNA-Glu". It matches the Rfam family "tRNA". From Rfam's summary of the family: Transfer RNA (tRNA) molecules are approximately 80 nucleotides in length. Their secondary structure includes four short double-helical elements and three loops (D, anti-codon, and T loops). Further hydrogen bonds mediate the characteristic L-shaped molecular structure. tRNAs have two regions of fundamental functional importance: the anti-codon, which is responsible for specific mRNA codon recognition, and the 3' end, to which the tRNAs corresponding amino acid is attached (by aminoacyl-tRNA synthetases). tRNAs cope with the degeneracy of the genetic code in two manners: having more than one tRNA (with a specific anti-codon) for a particular amino acid; and 'wobble' base-pairing, i.e. permitting non-standard base-pairing at the 3rd anti-codon position. RNAcentral also lists the same sequence under 1 other name. The record is from RNAcentral. Lineage: Archaea; Methanobacteriati; Thermoplasmatota; Thermoplasmata.